UACCUACGGGGGGCAGCAGUAGGGAAUCUUCCACAAUGGGCGAAAGCCUGAUGGAGCAACGCCGCGUGGGUGAAGAAGGUUUUCGGAUCGUAAAGCUCUGUUGUAAGAGAAGAACGUUAGCGGGAGUGGAAAAUCCGCUAAGUGACGGUACCUUACCAGAAAGGGACGGCUAACUACGUGCCAGCAGCCGCGGUAAUACGUAGGUCCCGAGCGUUGUCCGGAUUUAUUGGGCGUAAAGCGAGCGCAGGCGGUUUGAUAAGUCAGAAGUAAAAGGCUGUGGCUCAACCAUAGUACGCUUUUGAAAC
Molecule: ribosomal RNA, 305 nt
Filed under: uncultured bacterium
Lineage: Bacteria
Description: bacterial SSU rRNA
Rfam family: Bacterial small subunit ribosomal RNA
Source: RNAcentral